This 647-nucleotide ribosomal RNA is filed under the name Cupriavidus taiwanensis. RNAcentral describes it as "bacterial SSU rRNA". It matches the Rfam family "Bacterial small subunit ribosomal RNA", at positions 81 to 724 of the family's 1533-position model. The record is from RNAcentral. Lineage: Bacteria; Pseudomonadati; Pseudomonadota; Betaproteobacteria; Burkholderiales; Burkholderiaceae.
CGGCCUGGCGGCGAGUGGCGAACGGGUGAGUAAUACAUCGGAACGUGCCCUGUCGUGGGGGAUAACUAGUCGAAAGAUUAGCUAAUACCGCAUACGACCUGAGGGUGAAAGCGGGGGACCGCAAGGCCUCGCGCGAUAGGAGCGGCCGAUGUCUGAUUAGCUAGUUGGUGGGGUAAAGGCCCACCAAGGCGACGAUCAGUAGCUGGUCUGAGAGGACGAUCAGCCACACUGGGACUGAGACACGGCCCAGACUCCUACGGGAGGCAGCAGUGGGGAAUUUUGGACAAUGGGGGCAACCCUGAUCCAGCAAUGCCGCGUGUGUGAAGAAGGCCUUCGGGUUGUAAAGCACUUUUGUCCGGAAAGAAAUGGCCUGGGCUAAUACCCCGGGUCGAUGACGGUACCGGAAGAAUAAGCACCGGCUAACUACGUGCCAGCAGCCGCGGUAAUACGUAGGGUGCGAGCGUUAAUCGGAAUUACUGGGCGUAAAGCGUGCGCAGGCGGUUUGAUAAGACAGGCGUGAAAUCCCCGAGCUCAACUUGGGAAUGGCGCUUGUGACUGUCAGGCUAGAGUAUGUCAGAGGGGGGUAGAAUUCCACGUGUAGCAGUGAAAUGCGUAGAGAUGUGGAGGAAUACCGAUGGCGAAGGCAG